UACGAAGGGGGCUAGCGUUGCUCGGAAUCACUGGGCGUAAAGGGCGCGUAGGCGGCGUUUUUAAGUCGGGGGUGAAAGCCUGUGGCUCAACCACAGAAUUGCCUUCGAUACUGGGACGCUUGAGUGUGGUAGAGGUUGGUGGAACUGCGAGUGUAGAGGUGAAAUUCGUAGAUAUUCGCAAGAACACCGGUGGCGAAGGCGGCCAACUGGACCAUCACUGACGCUGAGGCGCGAAAGCGUGGGGAGCAAACAGG
This 254-nucleotide ribosomal RNA is filed under the name uncultured bacterium. Its description in RNAcentral is "partial 16S ribosomal RNA". It matches the Rfam family "Bacterial small subunit ribosomal RNA", at positions 524 to 776 of the family's 1533-position model. The record is from RNAcentral.